RNAcentral lists this ribosomal RNA (495 nucleotides) under uncultured bacterium. Its description in RNAcentral is "bacterial SSU rRNA". It matches the Rfam family "Bacterial small subunit ribosomal RNA", at positions 29 to 523 of the family's 1533-position model. The record is from RNAcentral.
AAUGAACGUUGGCGGCGUGGAUUAGGCAUGCGAGUCGUACGAGAACCCGCAAGGGGGAAAGUGGCGAACGGGGUAGUAAUGCGUAGGUGACGUGCUCUAUGGUCGGGGAUAGCUUAGGGAAACUUAAGGUAAUACUCGAUAAUCCCGGGAGGUUUGAAGACCAUCCGGGCAAAGGUGUGAUUCCAUCAUAGGAGCGGCUUGCGUGGUAUUAGCUAGUUGGUGAGGUAACGGCUCACCAAGGCUGCGAUGCCUAGGGGAUGUUAGCGCAUGAUCCCCACCACUGGGACUGAGAUACUGCCCAGACACCUACGGGUGGCUGCAGUUGAGAAUCUUCGGCAAUGGGCGAAAGCCUGACCGAGCGACGCCGCGUGUGGGAUGAAGGCCCUUGGGUUGUAAACCACUGUCAGAGGGGAUGAAAUGCACGAGAGCUAUCUCUUGUGUUUGACAUAGCCUCAGAGGAAGCACGGGCUAAGUUCGUGCCAGCAGCCGCGGUAA